GGGCUCGUGGUUUAGUGGUAUAAUACUCCCUUAGCAUGGGAGUGGUCCGGGGUUCGAGUAUGUCUUGACCCA
Non-coding RNA from Ophiobolus disseminans, 72 nucleotides. The record is from the annotation of a GenBank genome assembly. NCBI's taxonomy places the organism in Eukaryota, Fungi, Ascomycota, Dothideomycetes, Pleosporales, Phaeosphaeriaceae.